AGAGUUUGAUCCUGGCUCAGGACGAACGCUGGCGGCAUGCCUAACACAUGCAAGUCGAACGGAAACGAAACUAGCUUGCUAGUAGGCGUCGAGUGGCGGACGGGUGAGUAACGCGUAGGAAUCUGCCUGAUAGUGGGGGAUAGCCCGAAGAAAUUCGGAUUAAUACCGCAUAAUCUAUUCGUAGUAAAGUGGGGGACUUUCGAGCCUCACGCUAUCAGAUGAGCCUGCGUAAGAUUAGCUUGUUGGUAGGGUAAAAGCCUACCAAGGCAACGAUCUUUAGCUGGUCUGAGAGGAUGAUCAGCCACAUCGGGACUGAGACACGGCCCGAACUCCUACGGGAGGCAGCAGUGGGGAAUAUUGGACAAUGGGGGCAACCCUGAUCCAGCAAUACCGCGUGUGUGAAGAAGGCCUGAGGGUUGUAAAGCACUUUCAAUUGUGAAGAAAAGUUAACGGUUAAUAACCGUUGACCUUGACGUUAACUUUAGAAGAAGCACCGGCUAACUCCGUGCCAGCAGCCGCGGUAAUACGGAGGGUGCAAGCGUUAAUCGGAAUUACUGGGCGUAAAGCGUGCGUAGGCGGUUUAUUAAGUCAGAUGUGAAAGCCCCGGGCUUAACCUGGGAACUGCAUUUGAAACUGGUCAACUAGAGUAUGGUAGAGGAAAGUGGAAUUUCUGGUGUAGCGGUGAAAUGCGUAGAUAUCAGAAGGAACAUCAAUGGCGAAGGCAGCUUUCUGGACCAAUACUGACGCUGAGGUACGAAAGCGUGGGUAGCAAACAGGAUUAGAUACCCUGGUAGUCCACGCCGUAAACGAUGAUAACUAGCCGUUGGGGGGAUUUACCCCUUAGUGGCGAAGCUAACGCGUUAAGUUAUCCGCCUGGGGAGUACGGCCGCAAGGCUAAAACUCAAAGGAAUUGACGGGGACCCGCACAAGCGGUGGAGCAUGUGGUUUAAUUCGAUGCAACGCGAAGAACCUUACCUGGUCUUGACAUCCUGCGAACUUUCUAGAAAUAGAUUGGUGCCUUCGGGAACGCAGUGACAGGUGCUGCAUGGCUGUCGUCAGCUCGUGUCGUGAGAUGUUGGGUUAAGUCCCGUAACGAGCGCAACCCCUAUCCUUAUUUGCCAGCACAUUAUGGUGGGAACUAUAAGGAGACUGCCGGUGAUAAACCGGAGGAAGGCGGGGACGACGUCAAGUCAUCAUGGCCCUUACGACCAGGGCUACACACGUGCUACAAUGGGAAGGACAAAGAGCCGCGAAGCCGCGAGGUGUAGCUAAUCUCAUAAAUCUUUUCGUAGUCCGGAUUGGAGUCUGCAACUCGACUCCAUGAAGUCGGAAUCGCUAGUAAUCGUAGAUCAGAAUGCUACGGUGAAUACGUUCCCGGGUCUUGUACACACCGCCCGUCAUACCAUGGGAGUGGGUUGCACCAGAAGUGGCUAGUCUAACUUUGUGAGGACGGUCACCACGGUGUGAUUCAUGACUGGGGUAAAGUCGUAACAAGGUAACC
RNAcentral lists this ribosomal RNA (1501 nucleotides) under uncultured bacterium. RNAcentral describes it as "bacterial SSU rRNA". It matches the Rfam family "Bacterial small subunit ribosomal RNA". The record is from RNAcentral.